Molecule: small nucleolar RNA, 93 nt
Filed under: Xylona heveae TC161
Lineage: Eukaryota; Fungi; Ascomycota; Xylonomycetes; Xylonales; Xylonaceae
Description: A. fumigatus snoRNA Afu_300
Rfam family: A. fumigatus snoRNA Afu_300
Source: Rfam by way of RNAcentral
UGCAAAGAUGAUCAAUUUUUCUUAUAAUAUACGCUGGAAAUUACCGACUGAGACCUUCUGGUCGCUGGCGACAACUAAUGGCUUUGACUGAGC